CGCGGCCUAUCAGCUUGUUGGUGGGGUAAUGGCUCACCAAGGCGACGACGGGUAGCUGGUCUGAGAGGACGACCGGCCACACUGGGACUGAGACACGGCCCAGACUCCUACGGGAGGCAGCAGCGGGGAAUAUUGCACAAUGGGCGAAAGCCUGAUGCAGCGACGCCGCGUGGGGGAUGACGGCCUUCGGGUUGUAAACCUCUUUCAGGAGGGACGAAGCGUAAGUGACGGUACCUGCAGAAGAAGCCCCGGCCAACUACGUGCCAGCAGCCGCGGUAAGACGUAGGGCGCGAGCGUUGUCCGGAUUUAUUGGGCGUAAAGAGCUCGUAGGCGGCUUGUCGCGUCGACUGUGAAAACCCGAGGCUUAACUGCGGGCCUGCAGUCGAUACUGGCAGGGUUGAGUUCGGUAGGGGAGACUGGAAUUUCUGGGUGUAGCGGGGGAAUGCGCAGAUAUCAGGAAGAACACCGGUGGCGAGGGCGGGUCUCUGGGCCGAUACUGACGCUGAGGAGCGAAAGCGUGGGGAGCGAACAGGAUUAGAUACCCUGGUAGUCCACGCUGUAAACGUUGGGCGCUAGGUGUGGGGGACCUCUCCGGUUCUCUGUGCCGCAGCUAACGCAUUAAGCGCCCCGCCUGGGGAGUACGG
This 644-nucleotide ribosomal RNA is filed under the name uncultured bacterium. Its description in RNAcentral is "bacterial SSU rRNA". It matches the Rfam family "Bacterial small subunit ribosomal RNA", at positions 232 to 885 of the family's 1533-position model. The record is from RNAcentral.